GCCAGGAUGGCGGAAUUGGCAGACGCAGCGGACUCAAAAUCCGCCGCCCCCUAAAGGCUUGCGGGUUCGACCCCCGCUCCUGGCACCA
RNAcentral lists this transfer RNA (88 nucleotides) under Ereboglobus luteus. RNAcentral's name for it is "tRNA-Leu". It matches the Rfam family "tRNA". From Rfam's summary of the family: Transfer RNA (tRNA) molecules are approximately 80 nucleotides in length. The record is from RNAcentral. RNAcentral also lists the same sequence under 2 other names. Lineage: Bacteria; Pseudomonadati; Verrucomicrobiota; Opitutia; Opitutales; Opitutaceae.